UACGUAGGUCCCGAGCGUUGUCCGGAUUUAUUGGGCGUAAAGCGAGCGCAGGUGGUUUAUUAAGUCUGGUGUAAAAGGCAGUGGCUCAACCAUUGUAUGCAUUGGAAACUGGUAGACUUGAGUGCAGGAGAGGAGAGUGGAAUUCCAUGUGUAGCGGUGAAAUGCGUAGAUAUUAGGAAGAACACCAGUGGCGAAGGCGGCUUUCUGGACUGAAACUGACGCUGAGGCCCGAAAGCGUGGGGAGCAAACAGG
This 252-nucleotide ribosomal RNA is filed under the name uncultured bacterium. Its description in RNAcentral is "partial 16S ribosomal RNA". It matches the Rfam family "Bacterial small subunit ribosomal RNA", at positions 524 to 776 of the family's 1533-position model. The record is from RNAcentral.